GACGAACGCUGGCGGCGUGCUUAACACAUGCAAGUCGAACGGACAGGCCCUGCUUUUGUGGGGUGCUCGAGUGGCGAACGGGUGAGUAACACGUGAGUAACCUGCCCUUGACUUUGGGAUAACUUCAGGAAACUGGGGCUAAUACCGGAUAGGAGCUCCUGCUGCAUGGUGGGGGUUGGAAAGUUUCGGCGGUUGGGGAUGGACUCGCGGCUUAUCAGCUUGUUGGUGGGGUAGUGGCUUACCAAGGCUUUGACGGGUAGCCGGCCUGAGAGGGUGACCCGCCACAUUGGGACUGAGAUACGGCCCAGACUCCUACGGGAGGCAGCAGUGGGGAAUAGUACACAAUGGGCGGAAGCCUGAUGCAGCAACGCCGCGUGCGGGAUGACGGCCUUCGGGUUGUAAACCGCUUUCGCCUGUGACGAAGCGUGAGUGACGGUAAUGGGUAAAGAAGCACCGGCUAACUACGUG
This 468-nucleotide ribosomal RNA is filed under the name uncultured bacterium. RNAcentral's name for it is "partial 16S ribosomal RNA". It matches the Rfam family "Bacterial small subunit ribosomal RNA", at positions 28 to 507 of the family's 1533-position model. The record is from RNAcentral.